AUGGCAGAAUGCUUCGAUAAGGUGCUCAAGGGUGUACGUGCAUUACCUGUGAUGGCAAUAGUUCAAUACACAUUUGAUAAGAUGAAUGGAUACUUUUUGAAGUUAUCAAUGGAGACGGAUAAGCAGAUUGCUGGUGAGAACAAGGAUAAGCACAAGUACUAUUUCCCACCAAAGGUUGAAGAAUGGUUGGACUUUCAAUCAUGAAAGGCAGACUCCCAAGAAGCUGUACUAUAUGACGACAACGAGUGGAAGUAUGAGGUGAAAGAGCCUGGAGGAACCACAAAUGAUGGCCACCAACACGGAGGCCGUGCUUUCAAGGUCUCCCUAACACGAUGUGAUUGCAGCUGCAUGAGGCCAUCGUUGCUUCAUCUCCCAUGCUCGCACUUGUUAAAUGCAGCCCGUGUUAGGAAUGUGGACGUCAAUCACCCUCUUACCGUGAGGGAGUCCGAGUUCUCAAUCAUGACAGUAAAGAAUACAUGGGCUCCCCGGUUUCAGGCAUACUUGGACCAAUCAUAAUGGCUAGAGUAUCAUGGAGUUCAACUAUGGCCGGACCCGGAAUUGAAGGUCGUUAGACGGGGAAGACGUAAGACAAAGCGUCUUAGAUGUGACAUGGACGGAUGGGGCCGUGGUGGCAGUGGAGAAUACGGCACCGGCUAA
RNAcentral lists this ribosomal RNA (657 nucleotides) under Triticum aestivum (bread wheat). RNAcentral describes it as "partial small subunit ribosomal RNA". The record is from RNAcentral. Lineage: Eukaryota; Viridiplantae; Streptophyta; Magnoliopsida; Poales; Poaceae.